CUGUGGGAUUGUGGACCCUCUGUCCCACAAGCCCCUCCCUGUUUUUUCUCUUCCCGAAGUUUUUCUCUCCUGAACUUUGACGCUGAUCGUCUCCGUGUGAAGCUCCGUGUUAAGAGUUGGGAUCACAUCUGAGGAGGCAGAGGAAUCCUUUCAGACCCCUGAGUUAGCCGGAGUAGCUCCAGCUGUGUCUGAGACUGAAGUCCACAAGAAGAUGAUGAUGGAGGAAGAGGAGGACAGAGCAGAGUCUGCAGGGUCCAGCUGUUCGUCUAUGACGAGUGACCGGUCCAAAGAUCCACCUCCAGGCUUCAGUGGUGAACCUGGAUCAACGAGAGGUCAGAGGUCACAGUCUGCAGGAUACAGCUGUCCGUCUGUGAGGAGUGACUAGUCCAAAGGUCAUCCUCCAGAGUUCAGUGGUGAACCUGGACCAACGAGCAUGUCUUUAUCCUGUUUUCCUUCUCUCACCCCAACCGGUCGCAGCAGAUGGCCCCGCC
Molecule: long non-coding RNA, 491 nt
Organism: Oreochromis aureus
Lineage: Eukaryota; Metazoa; Chordata; Actinopteri; Cichliformes; Cichlidae
Exons: 5
Source: RefSeq, a predicted model, not a curated record